Lolium perenne is the source of this 666-nucleotide long non-coding RNA. RefSeq lists it as uncharacterized. NCBI's taxonomy places the organism in Eukaryota, Viridiplantae, Streptophyta, Magnoliopsida, Poales, Poaceae. The record is from RefSeq and is a predicted model, not a curated record.
UCUCCCCUCUCUGCCGCCGCCACUCCCUCCUCUUUCCCUACCCUUUUCUAUGUUCUCUGUAGGCAAACGAAGGAACAGCACCACCACCUCCCCGUCAUGGCGCUGCUGCUAUAGACAACCCCUCGCCGAGCCGAAGACACCGACGGAUGCGCCUCGUCGUCCUCUACGUUCGGGUGCAAGGAAUCGAGUUGGGACAACUCCAAUCAACGGCGAAUUCGCCGAUUCCAUCUCCGACCUGCCGGCGAACUUCUUCGAUUCCGGCCGCCUCCGUCCUCGUCCGACGGCCUCGACCACAAAUUCACACUCCUGAUGCUCGUCGCCGGUGAAGCUCCGGUGACCCCAUGUUGCCGGCUCCGCCACAUCCUGGUUCCCCACAGCGAGGCGCGCCCCCGACGCCAUCUCCCGUGUCCCGGUUCAUCCUGACCUGCUGAAUCGAACCCUGGCCAGAGCUCUGUUCCGCCAUGGCCUUCAUCCUGGAGCUCCGCGUUUGUCUGGUUCAUGUUGCCGCGCGCCCAUCUCUUGACACCAUCAGAUCUGCACCUGAUGGGCUUCAGCCCAGAUCGUCCCUCCCUUGGAGAAGCCCACCGUGCGCGCAGCAGUCAGUGAGCCCAGCGUUGCAGGUAGCAGCCCAACACACCAGAUCCUCCCCUCUCUUUUUUUUGUCCC